Molecule: ribosomal RNA, 430 nt
Filed under: Pseudomonadota bacterium
Lineage: Bacteria; Pseudomonadati; Pseudomonadota
Description: Proteobacteria bacterium partial 16S ribosomal RNA
Rfam family: Bacterial small subunit ribosomal RNA
Source: RNAcentral
UGGGGAAUAUUGGACAAUGGGGGGAACCCUGAUCCAGCCAUGCCGCGUGUGUGAAGAAGGCCUUAUGGUUGUAAAGCACUUUAAGCGAGGAGGAGGGUACUGGUAUUAAUACUACCAGCUACUGGACGUUACUCGCAGGAUAAGCACCGGCUAACUCUGUGCCAGCAGCCGCGGUAAUACAGAGGGUGCGAGCGUUAAUCGGAUUUACUGGGCGUAAAGCGUGCGUAGGCGGCUAAUUGAGUCGGAUGUGAAAUCCCCGAGCUUAACUUGGGAAUUGCAUUCGAUACUGGUUAGCUAGAGUGUGGGAGAGGAUGGUAGAAUUCCAGGUGUAGCGGUGAAAUGCGUAGAGAUCUGGAGGAAUACCGAUGGCGAAGGCAGCCAUCUGGCCUAACACUGACGCUGAGGUACGAAAGCAUGGGGAGCAAACAGG